CAUGGAUCAAGCAGGCAUGGAAGAACUGAAGGAUGACGUAGAAGAUAGUAGAGAAUGAUGCAAGCAAUAUAGCAAGCAGUUGCCAUGUCAAAAUAGAAAACAUGCAAAAGAAAUAGAAGGGAGCCCUGGAUCUUUUGGCAGAAUUAUUUGCUUCUGUAAAGACUUUAGCCGCAUUAGCAGUGUUGAUAGAUAGAAUUACAGCAUCCAAGUCAAG
Molecule: unclassified non-coding RNA, 214 nt
Filed under: Hevea brasiliensis (rubber tree)
Lineage: Eukaryota; Viridiplantae; Streptophyta; Magnoliopsida; Malpighiales; Euphorbiaceae
Source: RNAcentral